UAGGGAAUCUUCGGCAAUGGGGGGAACCCUGACCGAGCAACGCCGUGUGAGAGAAGAAGGUUCACGGAUCGUAAAGCUCUGUUGUUAAGGAAGAACGAGUGUGAGAAUGGAAAGUUCAUGCUGUGACGGUACUUAACCAGAAAGGGACGGCUAACUACGUGCCAGCAGCCGCGGUAAUACGUAGGUCCCGAGCGUUGUCCGGAUUUAUUGGGCGUAAAGCGAGCGCAGGCGGUUAGAAAAGUCUGAAGUGAAAGGCAGUGGCUCAACCAUAGUAGGCUUUGGAAACUGUUUAACUUGAGUGCAGAAGGGGAGAGUGGAAUUCCAUGUGUAGCGGUGAAAUGCGUAGAUAUAUGGAGGAACACCGAUGGCGAAAGCGACUCUCUGGUCUGUAACUGACACUGAGGCUCGAAAGCGUGGGGAGCGAACAGG
RNAcentral lists this ribosomal RNA (429 nucleotides) under Bacteroidota bacterium. RNAcentral describes it as "Bacteroidetes bacterium partial 16S ribosomal RNA". It matches the Rfam family "Bacterial small subunit ribosomal RNA", at positions 355 to 776 of the family's 1533-position model. The record is from RNAcentral. Lineage: Bacteria; Pseudomonadati; Bacteroidota.